Molecule: ribosomal RNA, 240 nt
Filed under: uncultured bacterium
Lineage: Bacteria
Description: partial 16S ribosomal RNA
Rfam family: Bacterial small subunit ribosomal RNA
Source: RNAcentral
UCCCCUACGGGACGCAGCAGUGGGGAAUAUUGCACAAUGGGGGAAACCCUGAUGCAGCGACGCCGCGUGGGUGAAGGAGCACCUCGGUGCGUAAAGCCCUAUCGGCAGGGAAGAAAAGCGAACAGGUUCGCCCGGACGGGACCUGACUAAGAAGCCCCCGCUAACUACGUGCCAGCAGCCGCGGGAAUACGUAGGGGGCAAGCGUUUUCCGGAUUCAUUGGGUGUAAAGGGAGCGUAGAC